GUCGAGCGGAACGAUGCCUAGCUUGCUAGGAGGCGUCGAGCGGCGGACGGGUGAGUAAUGCAUAGGAAUCUGCCCGGUAGUGGGGGAUAACCUGGGGAAACCCAGGCUAAUACCGCAUACGCCCUACGGGGGAAAGCAGGGGAUCUUCGGACCUUGCGCUAUCGGAUGAGCCUAUGUCGGAUUAGCUAGUUGGUGAGGUAACGGCUCACCAAGGCUGCGAUCCGUAGCUGGUCUGAGAGGAUGAUCAGCCACAUCGGGACUGAGACACGGCCCGAACUCCUACGGGAGGCAGCAGUGGGGAAUAUUGGACAAUGGGCGAAAGCCUGAUCCAGCCAUGCCGCGUGUGUGAAGAAGGCCUUCGGGUUGUAAAGCACUUUCAGUGAGGAAGAAAGCCUUGAGGUUAAUACCCUCGAGGGAGGACAUCACUCACAGAACAAGCACCGGCUAACUCCGUGCCAGCAGCCGCGGUAAUACGGAGGGUGCGAGCGUUAAUCGGAAUUACUGGGCGUAAAGCGCGCGUAGGCGGCUUGAU
Molecule: ribosomal RNA, 532 nt
Filed under: uncultured bacterium
Lineage: Bacteria
Description: bacterial SSU rRNA
Rfam family: Bacterial small subunit ribosomal RNA
Source: RNAcentral